UACGAAGGGGACUAGCGUUGUUCGGAAUUACUGGGCGUAAAGCGCACGUAGGCGGAUUGUUAAGUGAGGGGUGAAAGCCCAGGGCUCAACCCUGGAACUGCCUCUCAUACUGGCAAUCUUGAGUUCGGAAGAGGUAAGUGGAAUUGCGAGUGUAGAGGUGAAAUUCGUAGAUAUUCGCAGGAACACCAGUGGCGAAGGCGGCUUACUGGUCCGAAACUGACGCUGAGGUGCGAAAGCGUGGGGAGCAAACAGG
This 253-nucleotide ribosomal RNA is filed under the name uncultured bacterium. RNAcentral describes it as "partial 16S ribosomal RNA". It matches the Rfam family "Bacterial small subunit ribosomal RNA", at positions 524 to 776 of the family's 1533-position model. The record is from RNAcentral.